Paramuricea clavata is the source of this 216-nucleotide non-coding RNA. NCBI's taxonomy places the organism in Eukaryota, Metazoa, Cnidaria, Anthozoa, Malacalcyonacea, Plexauridae. The record is from the annotation of a GenBank genome assembly.
AACAAGUUUGCGUAUCUGUGAACGCGCAUGAGAUAAAAAUUAAAGAUCUAAACAGUUACAUUUCGCUGAUUUUAGAAGCGCACAAAAAUGAAACGGGAAUUUUACGAGCGGAUUUUGCUGUGUACGACCUUUCUCCCUUCGUUAGUUAUGCUGAUUGCGGUACAAGCUUCGUAGUCAGUGCCAUGAAUGGAAUCAUCAAGAAGAAAACGAUUGAUA